This 31-nucleotide non-coding RNA is filed under the name Rattus norvegicus (Norway rat). Lineage: Eukaryota; Metazoa; Chordata; Mammalia; Rodentia; Muridae. The record is from RNAcentral.
UAGAAUGGGGUAUACGUCACAGAACGAAAAU